Triplophysa rosa is the source of this 501-nucleotide long non-coding RNA. RefSeq lists it as uncharacterized. NCBI's taxonomy places the organism in Eukaryota, Metazoa, Chordata, Actinopteri, Cypriniformes, Nemacheilidae. The transcript has 4 exons. The record is from RefSeq and is a predicted model, not a curated record.
CAUUUUGGAGGGAAAACAACAGCACAAAUCUAAGUGUCCCAUCGCCCGGCGAAGACCCUUGUCCCUGCAUCACACAUCAACGGUAGGAUCUUUAGAAGGGGGGGACGCCCUUUCACGUGGUGCUGACUUGAAAUUUUUCUAGAUGUAGGACCACAAUAUGGGCCUGCGAUUGCCCCAUGCAGGCGGUCAGGAUUAUCACAACAGGCUUGAGACUUAUGUGAUGGUGGCACCAUCAACCAAUCCGAUAUCUGUUUAAGGCCGAGCGACUUCCACUGGGAUGACUGAUGGCUCUUUAAGAGUUCCUGUGGUGGGAGAUACGGAUCUGGCUUGUUCCGGCACAAAUUAAUCCCGGUGUCUUGACCUUUUAACUCUGUCUGGGCACAAGGAUGUAAUCCCCCAUGUGUGGUUUAAAACAUCAGGCUGCCAUCCCCGCUACAGGAAGUUUAUGAGCCACAUGUACAGUUUGUGUCUUUGAUAUAUUAACAAAUAAAGGAUGUCACA